UCUCAAAGAAUUUGUUAAUUACACGUUAACGUUUCCUGGUCUCCAGGAGGUUUCUGCUUCGGAGCCCGUCUUCUGGAUUUUGAAACCGUCAGAAGCUCUUAUAUUUGUCACCACUGCAGAGAAAAGACAAAAGGCAGCCUGUUGGUUCCAAUGAGUUCACAAUGUAUUGGAGAACAUGGGGCUUGCUUGAGGCAGAAAAAAAUAAAAGACGCCCCUCUCCCCAUACUGUAAGAACUUCAAGUGCCGUAGAACCUAGAUGUGC
Molecule: long non-coding RNA, 262 nt
Organism: Symphalangus syndactylus (siamang)
Lineage: Eukaryota; Metazoa; Chordata; Mammalia; Primates; Hylobatidae
Source: RefSeq, a predicted model, not a curated record